CCUACGGGUGGCAGCAGUGGGGAAUAUUGGGCAAUGGGCGCAAGCCUGACCCAGCAACGCCGCGUGAAGGAAGAAGGCUUUCGGGUUGUAAACUUCUUUUGUCAGGGACGAAGCAAGUGACGGUACCUGACGAAUAAGCCACAGCUCACUACGUGCCAGCAGCCGCGGUAAUACGUAGGUGGCAAGCGUUAUGCGGAUUUACUGGGGGUAAAGGGCGUGGAGGCGGGACUGCAAGUCAGAGGUGAAAACCACGGGCUCAACCUGUGGCCUGCAUUUGAAACUGUAGUUCGUGAGUACUGGAGAGGCAGACGGAAUUCCUAGUGUAGCGGUGAAAUGCGUAGAUAUUAGGAGGAACACCAGUGGCGAAGGCGGUCUGCUGGACAGCAACUGACGCUGAGGCGCGAAAGCGUGGGGAGCAAACAGGAUUAGAUACCCGAGUAGUC
Molecule: ribosomal RNA, 443 nt
Filed under: uncultured bacterium
Lineage: Bacteria
Description: partial 16S ribosomal RNA
Rfam family: Bacterial small subunit ribosomal RNA
Source: RNAcentral